CCCAGUGUGGCAUAGUGCUUUGAGUGUUGACUAUGAUUCUGGAGACCAGGGUUCAAUUCCCUGCUCAGCCA
Non-coding RNA from Phrynosoma platyrhinos (Desert horned lizard), 71 nucleotides. The record is from the annotation of a GenBank genome assembly. NCBI's taxonomy places the organism in Eukaryota, Metazoa, Chordata, Lepidosauria, Squamata, Phrynosomatidae.